AUUGAACGCUGGCGGCAUGCUUUACACAUGCAAGUCGAACGGUAACAGGCCUUCGGGUGCUGACGAGUGGCGAACGGGUGAGUAAUGCAUCGGAACGUACCCAGAGGUGGGGGAUAACGCAGCGAAAGCUGUGCUAAUACCGCAUGUGAUCUGAGGAUGAAAGCGGGGGACCGAGCAGCAAUGUUUGGCCUCGCGCCUUUGGAGCGGCCGAUGUCGGAUUAGCUAGUUGGUGGGGUAAAGGCCUACCAAGGCGACGAUCCGUAGCUGGUCUGAGAGGACGACCGGCCACACGGGGACUGGGACACGGCCCAGACUCCUACGGGAGGCAGCAGUGGGGAAUUUUGGGCAAUGGGCGGAAGCCUGGUCCAGCAAUGCCGCGUGCGGGAAGAAGGCCUUCGGGUUGGAAACCGCUUUUGGCAGGAACGAAACGGUGUCCGCUAAUACCGGGCGCUAAUGACGGUACCUGCAGAAUAAGCACCGGCUAACUACGUG
RNAcentral lists this ribosomal RNA (492 nucleotides) under uncultured bacterium. RNAcentral's name for it is "partial 16S ribosomal RNA". It matches the Rfam family "Bacterial small subunit ribosomal RNA", at positions 29 to 507 of the family's 1533-position model. The record is from RNAcentral.